GUGGAGUGACUGUCAGAUGCAGCCAGC
RNAcentral lists this microRNA (27 nucleotides) under Capra hircus (goat). Its description in RNAcentral is "chi-miR-2411-5p". The record is from miRBase by way of RNAcentral. Lineage: Eukaryota; Metazoa; Chordata; Mammalia; Artiodactyla; Bovidae.